Molecule: small nuclear RNA, 296 nt
Filed under: Nannospalax galili (Upper Galilee mountains blind mole rat)
Lineage: Eukaryota; Metazoa; Chordata; Mammalia; Rodentia; Spalacidae
Description: 7SK RNA (ENSNGAG00000004700.1)
Rfam family: 7SK RNA
About the family: 7SK was discovered as an abundant small nuclear RNA in the mid-70s but a possible function has only recently been suggested.
Source: Rfam by way of RNAcentral
GAUUGUGAAGGCAAUCUGGCUGUGACAUCUGUCACCCCAUUGAUUACCAUGGUUGAUUCGGCUGAUCUGGCUGGCUAGGCAAAUGUCCCCUUCCUCCCUCAACGCUCCAUGUGUGUCCCUCCCAAAGCUGCAUGCUCUGUCAAAGAGGACGACCCUCCCUGAUAGAGGAGGACUGGUCUUCAGUAUGCGAGUGGCUGUGCUCCCCCACUAGAACAUCCAAACAAGCUCUCAGGAUACAAAAUACACAGUAUGUGUAUAAUAUGUGCAGAUACAUGUGCGAUAUUUUAUGUUUGCAU